This 153-nucleotide ribosomal RNA is filed under the name uncultured eukaryote. RNAcentral's name for it is "partial small subunit ribosomal RNA". It matches the Rfam family "Eukaryotic small subunit ribosomal RNA", at positions 1651 to 1803 of the family's 1831-position model. The record is from RNAcentral.
CCCUGCCAUUUGUACACACCGCCCGUCGCACCUACCGAUUGAAUGGUCCGGUGAAAUCUUCGGAUUUUUAUAAUUUUGAUUUAUUUUGAGAUUAUAGAAAAAAGUUGAGUAAACCUUACCAUUUAGAGGAAGGUGAAGUCGUAACAAGGUUUC